This 18-nucleotide non-coding RNA is filed under the name Mus musculus (house mouse). Lineage: Eukaryota; Metazoa; Chordata; Mammalia; Rodentia; Muridae. The record is from RNAcentral.
UGCCACUCAUUUGGGAGU